GAAAUGACUGCUAAUACCGCAUAAGCGCACAGGACCGCAUGGUCCGGUGUGAAAAACUCCGGUGGUACAGGAUGGACCCGCGUCUGAUUAGGUAGUUGGCGGGGUAACGGCCCACCAAGCCGACGAUCAGUAGCCGACCUGAGAGGGUGACCGGCCACAUUGGGACUGAGACACGGCCCAAACUCCUACGGGAGGCAGCAGUGGGGAAUAUUGCACAAUGGGGGAAACCCUGAUGCAGCGACGCCGCGUGAGUGAAGGAGUAUUUCGGUAUGUAAAGCUCUAUCAGCAGGGAAGAAAAUGACGGUACCUGACUAAGAAGCCCCGGCUAACUACGUGCCAGCAGCCGCGGUAAUACGUAGGGGGCAAGCGUUAUCCGGAUUUACUGGGUGUAAAGGGAGCGUAGACGGCAGAGCAAGUCUGAAGUGAAAGCCCGCGGCCCAACUGCGGGACUGCUUUGGAAACUGCCCGGCUAGAGUGCUGGAGAGGUAAGCGGAAUUCCUAGUGUAGCGGUGAAAUGCGUAGAUAUUAGGAGGAACACCAGUGGCGAAGGCGGCUUACUGGACAGUAACUGACGUUGAGGCUCGAAAGCGUGGGGAGCAAACAGGAUUAGAUACCCUGGUAGUCC
This 625-nucleotide ribosomal RNA is filed under the name uncultured bacterium. RNAcentral's name for it is "bacterial SSU rRNA". It matches the Rfam family "Bacterial small subunit ribosomal RNA", at positions 153 to 796 of the family's 1533-position model. The record is from RNAcentral.